RNAcentral lists this non-coding RNA (26 nucleotides) under Homo sapiens (human). The record is from RNAcentral. Lineage: Eukaryota; Metazoa; Chordata; Mammalia; Primates; Hominidae.
UAAUGUCCUAAUCAUUGGAGAGCUGC